Molecule: unclassified non-coding RNA, 314 nt
Filed under: plant metagenome
Description: partial contains 5.8S ribosomal RNA, internal transcribed spacer 2, and large subunit ribosomal RNA
Rfam family: 5.8S ribosomal RNA (bases 1-105)
Source: RNAcentral
GAAAUGCGAUAAUUAAUGUGAAUUGCAAAAUUCAGUGAAUCAUCGAGUCUUUGAACGCACAUUGCGCCCCCUGGUAUUCCGGGGGGCAUGCCUGUCCGAGCGUCAUUGCUGCCCUCAAGCACGGCUUGUGUGUUGGGCUUCCGUCCCUGGCAACGGGGACGGGCCCAAAAGGCAGUGGCGGCACCAUGUCUGGUCCUCGAGCGUAUGGGGCUUUGUCACCCGCUCCCGUAGGUCCAGCUGGCAGCUAGCCUCGCAACCAAUCUUUUUAACCAGGUUGACCUCGGAUCAGGUAGGGAUACCCGCUGAACUUAAGC